RNA transcript from Alligator mississippiensis (American alligator), 2422 nucleotides. It is a transcript of the gene named ganglioside induced differentiation associated protein 2, with no coding region annotated. The record is from RefSeq and is a predicted model, not a curated record. Lineage: Eukaryota; Metazoa; Chordata; Crocodylia; Alligatoridae. The transcript is spliced from 15 exons.
AAGUGGAAGGGCGGGGCCGGGAAUUUCCCCAGUUGCUUUGCGAGGGAAUGUCUCUGGCCCGCCCUGAGCUGGCAUCGAGUCACCGGGCGGGAGGAGUGUGGUCCGCACUUCUUCAUUUAGAGUGGAGGGUGCUCAGCAUCUCACAGGAUUGGAUCCUGCAGCAUUAAGCACCUGGAAGGCUCCAGUGAGAACUGGAGUGCUAACAAGUUAGCAGAAAGAAGAGUUGUUCUUUCCAUUCCAUGGAUCCACUGGGUGCUCCUUCUCAGUUUGUGGAUAUUGACACACUGCCAUGCUGGACUGAUUUGUAUGUGGCAGAACAAUUGGAUUCUCACCAAGCUCCUGUUGAGAGAGCCCAAGUUGACAUUAGGUCACCUUUCCCAUACAGGAAAGACAUCAAUGCCAAAAUAGUCUUGUGGAAAGGAGAUGCGGCCUUACUGAAUUGCACAGCUAUUGUGAACACAAGUAAUGAGUCUCUGUCAGAUAAGAAUCCAGUAUCUGAAAGCAUCUUUAUAAAUGCUGGUCCUGACCUGAGGGAUGAACUUCAGAAACUCAAAGGAUGCCGGACAGGAGAAGCAAAACUGACAGAAGGAUUUAACUUAGCCGCACGUUUCAUCAUUCACACUGUGGGACCCAAGUACAAGAGUCGAUAUCGCACAGCAGCCGAGAGCUCCCUGUACAGCUGUUACCGCAAUGUUCUACAGCUUGCAAAGGAGCAGGCAAUGUCUUCAGUGGGAUUCUGUGUUAUAAAUUCAGUGAAGAGAGGCUACCCCCUAGAGGAUGCAACCCACAUAGCACUGCGCACAGUCAGAAGGUUCCUGGAGAUAUAUGGGGAGACUCUGGAGAAGGUGGUGUUUGCAGUGUCUGAGCUGGAAGAGGUCACUUACAAGAAGUUGCUGCCUCUGUAUUUUCCAAGGUCAUUGGAAGAAGAGAGUCGAUCAUUGCUUUGCCUUCCUGCAGAUAUUGGCAAUGCAGAAGGGGAGCCAGUUGUACCAGAGCGUCAGAUCAGGAUUAGUGAGAAGCCAGGCAUUCCAGAUGAUAACUCUGACGAGGAAGGGCUGGAAGCAGAUCUUUCUUUCAUUGGUUCCCAUGCUUUUGCCCGCAUGGAGGGAGAUGUUGAUAAACAGAGGCGCCUCAUCCUCCAGGGACAGUUGUCAGAGGCAGCACUACAGAAGCAGCAUCAGAGAAAUUACAAUCGCUGGCUGUGUCAAGCGAGAGCUGAAGACCUGUCCGACAUUGCUUCUCUCAAAGCCCUGUAUCAGACAGGUGUGGAUAACUGUGGUCGCACAGUAAUGGUGGUGGUUGGAAGAAAUAUUCCUGUCACAUUGAUAGACAUGGAAAAGGCUAUCUUGUACUUCAUCCAUGUGAUGGACCACAUCACAGUGAAAGAGUACGUCCUAGUGUAUUUUCACACCCUUACAAGUGAUUACAAUCAGCUAGACUCUAACUUCCUGAAAAAACUCUAUGACAUUGUUGACAUCAAGUACAAGAGAAAUUUGAAGGCAUUGUACUUUGUCCACCCAACAUUUCGCUCAAAGUGUCAUCCGUGAAUUUGAACAAGGUACUUUUCACCCCCUCGUCCAAGUCGCUGAUGAAGAUGUUGAACAGUGCAGGUCCGAGGACCGAGCCCUGGGGGACCCCACUGCCUACAUCCCUCCAGGUCGAAAAUGACCCAUCCGCCACCACUCUCUGGGUGCAGCCCUCCAGCCAAUUCGUGACCCAUCUGACUGUGUACGCGUCGACACCACAGUUGCCUAAUUUUUUAACGAGAAUGGGGUGAGAGACAGUGUUGAAGGCCUUCCAAAAGUCCAGAAAGACUACGUGCACCAAGACACCUGCAUCUAAGGAUUUUGUGACCUGGUCAUAGAAGGCAACCAGGUUGGUCUGACAGGACCUGCUCCUAAUGAACCCAUGUUGGUUGCCCCUAAGCAUAAUCUCCUCACAGAUGUGCUCCUGGAUAAUUUUCUCAAAGAGCUUCCCCAGGACUGAGGUAAGACUAAUGGGCUUGUAAUUUCCUGGGUCCUCCUUCCUCCCUUUUUUGAAAAUGGGGACCACAUUGGCCCUUUUCAGUCCUCUGGCACCUCGCCAGAGCACCAUGAGUGCUCAUAAAGCUGUGCCAGGGGUCCUACAGUGACCUCUGCCAAUUCCCUCAGCACUGUGUGGUAGAGAUCAUCUGGACCUGCUGAUUUGAACAUGUCCACCCCACCAGAAGUUUCCUAACUAGGUCCUCUCUGAUCCUAGGCCUGGCUGUGCUUCUCCUGAGUCCAUCCAGAAUCUCGGUGGGGGCAAUGUCCUGGUCCGUGCUCAGAAAAAUGGAGGCAAAGAAUUUGUUAAAGAGGUAUCAGCAUGGUUUUUCACAACCUUUACUGUCUCAGGGCUAAAGGACAAAAUCCACUAUGUAGAAAGCCUUCAACAGUUGUUCACA